UGUUUGUUUCUUUAGAAUAAAAUGGCAGAAGUAAAGACCUGGGUAGAAAAAUACACUCAAGAGGCUUUUCCAUGAAGCUCAGAAUUCCUAAAAUUACCAACAACAGAGCACAGACUUCAGAAUAUCCACCACAGGAGAGAUACAAGUCAGCCUCCUUGUUGACAAGCCAGCGUGGAGGCAAAGGGAACCCCAAGGGACCAAGGGUCAAAGCAUCUGCUGUCAGCACACACCAAUUUAGAAGAUGAGGACUUAAGAACCUGGGAAUGCCACCCCCCCACCCCGCCAUUACUGUGGGACCUUGUGGAGGAGAAGCAGGACGUGAACCUUCGUCCAAGCUGGUCGGGCAAGCUUUUCCAGUUCCAACUGGGCCCACAGUGUUAACUGGUAAGGAGGACAGAGGGCAGGCUUCAGAACAGGGCGGAACUUGCCACCCUCACACAUUCAUCUCCACCCUGACCCCACACUGCAAAAGGCCCUCAGUCACUCUUCUCCAAUUCAGAAACUAAAACUUUAUAUGAAUAUUUCUGGAGUCACAAGGCUCUAGCAAUAUAAAUCUAUUUUCAUCAUUCAAUGUCAUAUGAGUCCAAGGAUAAAUAUUACCAUUACCGUAAUUUUUUCUUAUUUUCCAGGUUAAAAAUACUAAAAAAGUAAAAUUCUCUUA
This is a long non-coding RNA of Manis javanica (Malayan pangolin), 661 nucleotides long. RefSeq lists it as uncharacterized. The record is from RefSeq and is a predicted model, not a curated record. Lineage: Eukaryota; Metazoa; Chordata; Mammalia; Pholidota; Manidae.